AGUGAACGCUGGCGGUAGGCCUAACACAUGCAAGUCGAACGGCAGCACAAUAAGAGCUUGCUCUUACGGGUGGCGAGUGGCGGACGGGUGAGGAAUACAUCGGAAUCUACUUUUUCGUGGGGGAUAACGUAGGGAAACUUACGCUAAUACCGCAUACGACCUACGGGUGAAAGCAGGGGAUCUUCGGACCUUGCGCGAUUGAAUGAGCCGAUGUCGGAUUAGCUAGUUGGCGGGGUAAAGGCCCACCAAGGCGACGAUCCGUAGCUGGUCUGAGAGGAUGAUCAGCCACACUGGAACUGAGACACGGUCCAGACUCCUGCGGGAGGCAGCAGUGGGGAAUAUUGGACAAUGGGCGCAAGCCUGAUCCAGCCAUACCGCGUGGGUGAAGAAGGCCUUCGGGUUGUAAAGCCCUUUUGUUGGGAAAGAAAAGCAGCAGGUUAAUACCCCGCUGUUCUGACGGUACCCAAAGAAUAAGCACCGGCUAACUUCGUG
RNAcentral lists this ribosomal RNA (492 nucleotides) under uncultured bacterium. RNAcentral describes it as "partial 16S ribosomal RNA". It matches the Rfam family "Bacterial small subunit ribosomal RNA", at positions 29 to 507 of the family's 1533-position model. The record is from RNAcentral.